RNAcentral lists this long non-coding RNA (1345 nucleotides) under Capra hircus (goat). RNAcentral's name for it is "lncRNA (ENSCHIG00010013156.1)". Lineage: Eukaryota; Metazoa; Chordata; Mammalia; Artiodactyla; Bovidae. The record is from RNAcentral.
GGCAGGCGGCUCCCAGAGCCAGCAGAGCAGCUAAUUAUACAGAGGGGCCACGCCCUGCACAUUCAUACCUAACCUGGUUUUUUAAAGAAGUGUUUUUAUUCUUCCCCAGUUUAAUUAUUUUCCACGGCUCAGCAACCAGUUGGGCUGCUUCCUUCUGAUACACUUUCUUCUCAUCAGGAAAGCGGGAGCCUCUGUCCUCGCAGGUGGGCAGGCUUCGCUGAGCCAAGCCAGCCGUGGGACAGAAGGUGAGGUGUCCGCAGAGGCCCACAGGACUCAGGGCUAUUUAACUGGGUCACACAAGCCAAAUAAUCUUGAAACGUGAUGGCCUGGGUUUCAGAGGAAUAUCCCCCUGCCGCCCUGAGACACCGGAGUUGCUUCUUAUCUUUUUUUUGUUUUUUAAUUUCCAUCAAAAAGUUUAGUACUUUUUUAAAUUAGAGGAUAAUUGUUUUACAAUAUUGUGUUUGACUUCCUGUCUUAAAAGGAAUGGUGGGUUCCACUUGAUUUGGAGCUAAAAUUUCAACCCAAGGCCUUUGAGAACCAACAGCCACCUGACUAUCUCAACGGAAGACAGCUUCAGGAAGUCACGUCCCACCCAGCAGCCCUAACAAGAUGCUUACGGCUUUAUGUUAUUUCUAUCAGAGCAAGUUAGAACCUGCUUGGAUCCAAGGGACAGGGAGACAGUAGUGAGGGACAGAAACGCAGACCAGGUGGCAGCGUCCUCAGGGCCCCCACCAAGGGAAGGGCUGUGCCUCUCCCCGGCCGGGCUGGACUGGACAGAGCAGAGGUGGGAGUGGCUGGGGCGGCAGGUUCCAGGCUGUGUGUAGGGGAGUGGGUUUCCUUCCCCUCGAAUCCAGGUCAAACUCAGGGAGCCCCCGCCCCUUUGGCUCACCAGGCCGAACAGCUAAUCCUCUGCAGCAACAGCUCGUGUGGGAACGAGAGCAGAGACAAGCUUAGCUCCCCAAGCAGCCAGAGUUUUAAGAGGAGGUGUGGGGGUGGAGAGUGCUGCUUCAUCAAGGGGAUUCCCUCUCACCUUGUGUCUCCGUUCUCAGGCUCCACAGGAGCCCCGACUCGUUUGAACUCACUGGUGAGUGGUCUAAGAGUUCAUGGGGGCUUCUGGGGGCAGGAAACACUUUCUCAAAAAGUCUUGCUCAGGACUUCUUUGGUGGACCAGUGGCUGAGACUCCGCACUCCCAAGGCAGGGGACCCAGGUUUCACCCCUGGUCAGGGAACUGGAUCCCACAUGCCGCAAAACCAAAGGUCCCAAAUGCCACAACUUAAAGUUAGCAUGCCACGACCAAAAUCUCACAUGCUGCAGCCAAGACCUGCCACAGCCAAAAUAAAUUAA